UGCUGGUACGCUGCUGCAUUGGCCCCAGGAACUGACACACAAAGAGAGUGUCUGGGCGACAGACUCCAUCGGUGCCUGGGAUGUGUCCACAUGUCUCAAACUGUUGGCCAGACCUUACCCUCCGGGCUCGGGGGAUACAAAAGAAACUCCUGCCACUUUAAAGGCCUUUCUGCCUAGGAAUGGGGUGCCUGCAUGAGAAGUUAGCGGAAGGAGUCUCAGAUUCUCGAGACCAAACGUUUCUAUGUUCGGUGAUGGAACAAUCAUCCUUUUUUUACUACAAAAGGAAGAUUCCAGGCCCAAACCCCUUGCCUUAUAGGAAAAGGAUGCUGAGGAGGAGCCCCAAAUUCACUCCACGUCUCUCAGGAUUACCUUCUAAUCCCAUUCCAACCACCGUCAUGAGUUCGGGAUGCAUCCGCACCGUGAGUUCCUAAUUUAUACUGCGUGCUUCUGUAAGUGACGGACAGCAUCGCAGAGUGCGAUCAGAAAUUUUUCGUGUCAUUUGUUGACAGUGCUUUGAACUUGCUCUUCUGCUCGGCCGUCCACAUUUCGGAGAUCUACGGCUGCAGACGCCUGCAGCCUCGGCUGGUUGCCCGGACCUGGUUCGGGGAAGAGGUCGCUGCUCCUGUUUCCCUAUUUCUGCUCUUGGGAAUCCCUGCCCCGAUCUUACAACAGAGUCUGCUCACGUCCGCUCUCCUGCAGGCAUGAUCUUUCUGCGCUACCUGUAUUUUUCUUUGCCCUGAUUUAGAAGAGAAACUAGAUUCUCGUUUUGAGGACAGUUUUAAGCUCACAGCGAAGUUGGGAGGACGGUGCACCGAGAUUUUUCAUACAUCGCCUGAGGCCAGCCCUGCACAGUGCCAUUGUCCCCAUCCGGUUACCAACAUCCUAGGAGGACACACCUGAUAGGAUUCAUGCACCUGCGUUGACACAUCGUUAUCACCCAGAGGCCAGAGUUUACAGGUAACUCUUGGUGUUGCACCUGCCGUGGGUUUUAACAAAUGUAUAAUAGCAUGUAUCUAACACUACAGCAUCAUACGGAAUAACUCAACUGCCCUAAAAAUCCUCCAGUUUUUUCCUGUUCAUUCCUCCUUCCCCCCAACCCCUCAAAACCACUGAUUUUUAUACUGUCUCCAUUGUUUUGCCUUUUCCAGAAUGUCAUAGAGUCGCAAUUGUGCAGUAUGUAGCCUUUUCAGAUUGCUUCGUUUACUUAAUGAUAUGCGUUUAUGUUUCUGACAUCAAAUGGCGUGGUAGCUUAUUUCCCUUUUGUGCUGAAUAAUAUUCCAUUGUCCGAAUGUAUCACAGUGUAUCCAUUUACCUACAGAGGGCAUGUUGAUUGCCUCUGACCCUUGGCAAUUAGCAAUAAAGCUGCUAUAAAUGUCUGUGUGCCGCAUUUUGUGUA
This is a long non-coding RNA of Suricata suricatta (meerkat), 1396 nucleotides long. RefSeq lists it as uncharacterized. Lineage: Eukaryota; Metazoa; Chordata; Mammalia; Carnivora; Herpestidae. The transcript has 2 exons. The record is from RefSeq and is a predicted model, not a curated record.